This 459-nucleotide ribosomal RNA is filed under the name uncultured bacterium. RNAcentral describes it as "partial 16S ribosomal RNA". It matches the Rfam family "Bacterial small subunit ribosomal RNA", at positions 338 to 795 of the family's 1533-position model. The record is from RNAcentral.
CCUACGGGGGGCAGCAGUGAGGAAUAUUGGUCAAUGGCCGUAAGGCUGAACCAGCCAAGUAGCGUGAGGGAAGACUGCCCUAUGGGUUGUAAACCUCUUUUAUGCGGGGAUAAAGGUGUCCACGUGUGGAUGUUUGUAGGUACCGCAUGAAUAAGGACCGGCUAAUUCCGUGCCAGCAGCCGCGGUAAUACGGAAGGUCCGGGCGUUAUCCGGAUUUAUUGGGUUUAAAGGGUGCGCAGGCGGAAUGUCAAGUCAGCGGUAAAAUUUCGGGGCUCAACCCCGUCGUGCCGUUGAAACUGGCGUUCUUGAGUGAGCGAGAAGUAUGCGGAAUGCGUGGUGUAGCGGUGAAAUGCAUAGAUAUCACGCAGAACUCCGAUUGCGAAGGCAGCAUACCGGCGCUCAACUGACGCUCAUGCACGAAAGCGUGGGUAUCGAACAGGAUUAGAUACCCUUGUAGUC